CUUAUGUAAACCUAAUGUAAUGUACUACCUAAAAUACUGAAACUGUAUAUAAAUAUGGGGCACUUAGAUCUUCAGUGGGCACUGGAUCAGGGUAUUGGUGAAUGAGAUUUCCCCUUCAUAAAUUUGCUUCUGAAUAUAUCCACUGUAGGAGUCCUGCCUUCAGAGUCCAGGAAGCAGUUAAACUUUGGAAGCAGGUACAUCUCAACCCAUAGAUCCUAAAAUCCUAGACAAGGUUAUGAAGAUCUGUGCCUUCCAUCUGACCUUUUUUCUUGCCUUUCCACUGGGAACAAUGGGUCACAGACCAUCCCUCCAGACUUAUCUACCAAAAUUGCAACUAUUCAAGUGUGGGACAAACAGCUCAGCAACUGGUCACAGCAAAAAUAAAGAAAAGAUGCCCAGGGAAGGACAGCCCCUCCUUGAUGCAACUGCUAGCAGAGAACUCAACAUUGCUGAAGUGGAAGCAUACUGGAAGAGGUCUCAUCUUCUUUUUCCCAGUACCUUUUCCACCCCAUAAUCAUACACAUUGAUAGAAGCAGAAAAAUAUACAAAGCCUGUACAAAUAAGCUACACUUGAUACACUAUGAACAAAGUGGAGGAAAAACUACCAGAAAAUAUUUUAAGUUUCAAUUUGCUGCAAAGUAUUUGUCAUCAGUUAGGAAAAGAAA
This 665-nucleotide long non-coding RNA is filed under the name Gopherus agassizii (Agassiz's desert tortoise). RNAcentral's name for it is "lncRNA (ENSGAGG00000001901.1)". Lineage: Eukaryota; Metazoa; Chordata; Testudines; Testudinidae. The record is from RNAcentral.